ACGUACACUCCUGCGGGAGGCAGCAGUGGGGAAUAUUGGACAAUGGGCGCAAGCCUGAUCCAGCCAUGCCGCGUGAGUGAUGAAGGCCCUAGGGUUGUAAAGCUCUUUCACAGGUGAAGAUAAUGACGGUAACCGGAGAAGAAGCCCCGGCUAACUUCGUGCCAGCAGCCGAGGUAAUACGAAGGGGGCUAGCGUUGUUCGGAUUUACUGGGCGUAAAGCGCACGUAGGCGGACUAUUAAGUCAGGGGUGAAAUCCCGGGGCUCAACCCCGGAACUGCCUUUGAUACUGGUAGUCUUGAGUUCGAGAGAGGUGAGUGGAAUUCCGAGUGUAGAGGUGAAAUUCGUAGAUAUUCGGAGGAACACCAGUGGCGAAGGCGGCUCACUGGCUCGAUACUGACGCUGAGGUGCGAAAGCGUGGGGAGCAAACAGGAUUAGAUACCCCUGUAGUCCCA
RNAcentral lists this ribosomal RNA (452 nucleotides) under uncultured organism. RNAcentral describes it as "partial 16S ribosomal RNA". It matches the Rfam family "Bacterial small subunit ribosomal RNA", at positions 329 to 797 of the family's 1533-position model. The record is from RNAcentral.